Molecule: ribosomal RNA, 184 nt
Filed under: Suillus collinitus
Lineage: Eukaryota; Fungi; Basidiomycota; Agaricomycetes; Boletales; Suillaceae
Description: partial 28S ribosomal RNA
Rfam family: Eukaryotic large subunit ribosomal RNA
Source: RNAcentral
UUGACCUCAAAUCAGGUAGGACUACCCGCUGAACUUAAGCAUAUCAAUAAGCGGAGGAAAAGAAACUAACAAGGAUUCCCCUAGUAACUGCGAGUGAACCGGGAAAAGCUCAAAUUUUGAAUCUGGCGGUCUUUCGGCCGUCCGAGUUGUAAUCUAGAGAAGCGUCUUCCGCGCUGGACCGUGU